Molecule: ribosomal RNA, 332 nt
Filed under: uncultured bacterium
Lineage: Bacteria
Description: bacterial SSU rRNA
Rfam family: Bacterial small subunit ribosomal RNA
Source: RNAcentral
UGCGUAGGCGGUCCCGCAAGUCCGCUGUGAAAUCCCCGGGCUUAACCUGGGAAUGGCAGUGGAAACUAGGGGACUUGAAUCUGGCAGAGGGGGGUGGAAUGCCACGUGUAGCAGUGAAAUGCGUAGAGAUGUGGCGGAACACCGAUGGCGAAGGCAGCCCCCUGGGCUGAGAUUGACGCUCAGGCACGAAAGCGUGGGGAGCAAACAGGAUUAGAUACCCUGGUAGUCCACGCCCUAAACGAUGAUCACUAGGUGUUGGGGAAGCGAUUUCUCAGUACCGCAGCUAACGCGUGAAGUGACUCCGCCGUGGGAGUACGGUCGCAAGAUUAAAA